UACAGAGGGGGCAAGCGUUGUUCGGAAUUACUGGGCGUAAAGGGCGCGUAGGCGGCCUGCUAAGUCGAACGUGAAAUCCCUGGGCUCAACCCAGGAACUGCGUCCGAUACUGGUUGGCUUGAAUCCGGGAGAGGGACGUGGAAUUCCAGGUGUAGCGGUGAAAUGCGUAGAUAUCGGGAGGAACACCUAUGGCGAAGGCAGCUCGCUGGGACGUUACUGACGCUGAGACGCGAAAGCGUGGGGAGCAAACAGG
RNAcentral lists this ribosomal RNA (253 nucleotides) under uncultured bacterium. RNAcentral's name for it is "partial 16S ribosomal RNA". It matches the Rfam family "Bacterial small subunit ribosomal RNA", at positions 524 to 776 of the family's 1533-position model. The record is from RNAcentral.